AAUCUUCCCCAAUGGGCGCAAGCCUGAGGGAGCAACGCCGCGUGAGUGAUGACGGCCUUCGGGUUGUAAAGCUCUGUGCGGAGGGACGAGACCGGGCGCGGGAGACCGCGGUCGGGCGACGGUACCUUCGGAGCAAGCCCCUGCUAACUACGUGCCAGCAGCCGCGGUAAGACGUAGGGGGCAAGCGUUGUCCGGAAUGACUGGGCGUAAAGGGCGUGUAGGCGGUGCGGUACGUGGCGUCGGAAAGGCGGCGGCUUAACCGGCGCAGGGGCGCCAAACGGCCGGACUGGAGGGCAGGAGAGGUGCGCGGAAUUCCCGGUGGAGCGGUGAAAUGCGUAGAGAUCGGGAAGAACACCCGUGGCGCAGGCGGCGCACUGGCCUGGCCCUGACGCUGAGGCGCGACAGCGUGGGGAGCGA
Molecule: ribosomal RNA, 417 nt
Filed under: uncultured Eubacteriales bacterium
Lineage: Bacteria; Bacillati; Bacillota; Clostridia; Eubacteriales
Description: bacterial SSU rRNA
Rfam family: Bacterial small subunit ribosomal RNA
Source: RNAcentral